Molecule: ribosomal RNA, 500 nt
Filed under: uncultured bacterium
Lineage: Bacteria
Description: partial 16S ribosomal RNA
Rfam family: Bacterial small subunit ribosomal RNA
Source: RNAcentral
AUUGAACGCUGGCGGCAUGCCUCACACAUGCAAGUCGAACGGCAGCACGGGAGCAAUCCUGGUGGCGAGUGGCGAACGGGUGAGUAAAGUAUCGGAACGUGCCCAGUCGUGGGGGAUAACGUAGCGAAAGUUACGCUAAUACCGCAUACGAUCUAUGGAUGAAAGCGGGGGAUCGCAAGACCUCGCGCGAUUGGAGCGGCCGAUAUCAGAUUAGGUAGUUGGUGGGGUAAAGGCCCACCAAGCCGACGAUCUGUAGCUGGUCUGAGAGGACGACCAGCCACACUGGGACUGAGACACGGCCCAGACUCCUCCGGGAGGCAGCAGUGGGGAAUUUUGGACAAUGGGCGAAAGCCUGAUCCAGCCAUGCCGCGUGCAGGAUGAAGGCCUUCGGGUUGUAAGCUGCUUCUGUCCGGAACGAAAAGGACUGCCCUAAUACGGUGGUCCCAUGACGGUACCGUAAGAAUAAGCACCGGCUAACUACGUGCCAGCCGCCGCCGUAA